Molecule: long non-coding RNA, 502 nt
Filed under: Arabidopsis lyrata
Lineage: Eukaryota; Viridiplantae; Streptophyta; Magnoliopsida; Brassicales; Brassicaceae
Description: long non-coding RNA (ALYR_LNC000167)
Source: RNAcentral
CUAUGAUGUUGAUACAAAGAUGAAAAAUAAGAUACACUUUCAGAUAAAUUGCAGUAGUUGCUAAUAGGGUAAAGCAUUCCAAGGCUCUUCGGAGGCUAGAAAUCAAUCAAAACAGAGACCCAGAGAGCUAAUAAGCUUUGAAACUAAAGCGGUGAGAGUCACUAAAUCUGAACCAAACUACUUACCUGAUGCGAGUAAGAGGUGUGAUAAGCCAAAAGAGGAGACGCACGGCAAGUCCACAAUCUACAAAAGAGGAGCAUGUGGAACAGAAUUAAGGAGCGACCUAGAGACGAAUCUACUACAGAAUCUAAACAAAAUCAACGGAGUUAGUGGAACAGAGAUCUAAAAGAUCGAUCUGAGAGAGCUUACCGAAAGGAACAAGGAGACGCCGACGGAGAGCUAGGGCAUCCGCUCGUCUAUCUCUUUUUUUUUUUUUUUUUUUGGGUGCAAACUUUUCACUACUGUGCUCUAUAAACGCAUCUGGUUUGCGUGUGCCGUUUAU